AUUGAACGCUGGCGGCAUGCCUUACACAUGCAAGUCGAACGGUAACAGGUCUUCGGAUGCUGACGAGUGGCGAACGGGUGAGUAAUACAUCGGAACGUGCCUAGUAGUGGGGGAUAACUACUCGAAAGAGUGGCUAAUACCGCAUGAGAUCUACGGAUGAAAGCAGGGGAUCGCAAGACCUUGUGCUACUAGAGCGGCCGAGGGCAGAUUAGGUAGUUGGUGGGAUAAAAGCUUACCAAGCCGACGAUCUGUAGCUGGUCUGAGAGGACGAUCAGCACACACUGGGACUGAGACACGGCCCAGACUCCUACGGGAGGCAGCAGUGGGGAAUUUUGGACAAUGGGCGCAAGCCUGAUCCAGCAAUGCCGCGUGCAGGAUGAAGGCCUUCGGGUUGUAAACUGCUUUUGUACGGAACGAAAAGCCCCGGGUUAAUACCCUGGGGUCAUGACGGUACCGUAAGAAUAAGCACCGGCUAACUACGUGCCAGCAGCCGCAGUAA
RNAcentral lists this ribosomal RNA (499 nucleotides) under uncultured bacterium. RNAcentral's name for it is "partial 16S ribosomal RNA". It matches the Rfam family "Bacterial small subunit ribosomal RNA", at positions 30 to 523 of the family's 1533-position model. The record is from RNAcentral.